CAGUAGCCGCGGUAAUACGUAGGGUGCAAGCGUUAUCCGGAAUUAUUGGGCGUAAAGAGCUCGUAGGCGGUCUGUCGCGUCUGCUGUGAAAACUGGAGGCUCAACCUCCAGCCUGCAGUGGGUACGGGCAGACUAGAGUGCGGUAGGGGAGAUUGGAAUUCCUGGUGUAGCGGUGGAAUGCGCAGAUAUCAGGAGGAACACCGAUGGCGAAGGCAGAUCUCUGGGCCGUAACUGACGCUGAGGAGCGAAAGCAUGGGGAGCGAACAGGAUUAGAUGCCCCCGUAGUCCCUGUCUCUUAUAC
RNAcentral lists this ribosomal RNA (301 nucleotides) under uncultured bacterium. RNAcentral's name for it is "partial 16S ribosomal RNA". It matches the Rfam family "Bacterial small subunit ribosomal RNA", at positions 509 to 807 of the family's 1533-position model. The record is from RNAcentral.